UGCAUCAAAAGGUUGCGUUUCCACCUGGAGAAUGAGCAACAAAUCAUUUUAACUGAUUAUACAGAUUUAACAAACAUCAUAAGGUAAGAAAGAGUGGGGAUAACAAAAUUUACACGGUGGAUGGAGACAAACAAGAUCCUGUGAAGCAAGAGAAUUAACAUAUGCAGAGUUCCCGUUAAAAUAGGUAUGGAAGGAAAAAGAGAAAAAGUGGGGCAAAACAAAGAAAGGAAGAUCCGUUGGAAGGAUAUAUUAUGCUCAUACAACAAAUGGUGAAAAAUACUACAUGAGAAUGCUACUUAACGCCCACAAAGGAUGCAUGUCUUUCAAAAGGAACCGUAAAUGGAGUUGUCCACACUUCAUACAUAUUUGCUUGCGAAGCACUAGGAUUUCAACGACAGAGUGGAUUGAGUGCAUAAAUGGGGCAUCAGACUGGGUGAUUGGCUACCAGCUAAGACAACUGUUCAAAAUUCUUAUGCCACUGAAGUCACAAGCCCAAAAAUAUUGUGGGGGACAUGCUGAGAAGUUCUAAGCAAACACAUGGAGUAUAGGUAGAGAAGACUCUUGAACUAUCCUACACUUUGACUAACAGAUACACAAAAGCAAGGAUACGCCUUGGUGAAAGUAGAUAAGCUCAUGAGACAAGCUGGACAGACAUUUAAGGAAUACCCCGGAAUACAACAUUCGAAUUCUUCUCAGAUAAAGGAACUUGGAAACAGACUGCACAAUGAAGAGAUGAAUUAUAACAAAGAGGAAUAAAAGAACAUCAUUCCAGGAUCUUUGGCAAUAUGAACUCUCAACAACUACAUGUGUUUAAUUCAGUAAUGGAAUCAAUGAACAAAAAUUUGGGAAAUAAUAUAUUUGUGGACGGCUAUGGCGGGAUCUGUAUGACAUACCUACGAAGGCAAUCACAGCAAAGUUGUGUUCCGAAGGAAAGAUAGUACUAGCAGUGAUGUCAUCUCAUAUUGCAGAGCUGCUUCUAUAGGGAGCACACUCGAGGUUCCACAUCCCCCUAUCCUUGCAGAAGAGUCAACAUGUUAAGGUUCCCACUUGACCUACUAAAAAAGACAUCACUUAUACUAUGGGAUGAAGGUCCAAUGGCAAACAAGAUAUGCUUUGAGGCGCUAGACAGAACUAAAGGUAGGACUAUAUCUGCCUAAACAAGUGUUCACAAAUGGAUAGCUAUAUGUAGCAUUAUCAAGAUUCACAAGAAGAUAUGGACAAUGUGUAGUGGUAAAUGAUGAAGAUAGCAAAGAGGAGGAUGUGUUCAAGAACAUUGUCUAUACUGAAAUAUUUUAAAGGUAUGGAAAAACAAAAACACUUUUAGUAUGAUUCUUAGAUAAGAAUAGGUACAUGAAAAAUUUGUACACUACAAACUAUCUUCAAAAUACAAAUUAAUAGCAUACCAAUGCUGACAUUAUAUGGCAGGACAAAUAUGGUCCAUGCUCUGUGUAAGUACUGGACACAUGCAACAACAUUUGAAGGAAAUAGUUAAUCAAUUCUAAACAUGUACACUAUAUUUUCUGAUAUUUGUGGCUUAAUAUAUAGUACAACACAAUAUAAAGAGCAUUUGUGCAUCAUUAUAAUUUGUAUGUACAAUGCGGUCAGACCUAUUUUACUACCCUGUUAUUAUAAAUACAAUUUUGUCUUUAGGAAAUAUUAAACUAGAGUUACACAAUUACACUGAUUAAUACAUAUAUUUGUUCAAUAUGAAUUGGGGUAAGGUUUAUUAUUUAUACAUGUUAAAUAUGAAUUGGGGUAAGGGGGGCUAAUACUGCCGAUUACGGUCCAAACCUGGAAAAAAGUGUAGGGGCAUAAGAAAAUAAAUAUUCUCCACUAACAGGUAGUACCUUAAUCACAUUAUAUUGGUAUAUACAAUCGUACAAACAUAAUAAAAGGUUAAUAAAAAAAGGGCAAUCAGGAAAAGGAGAAAGGGGGAACCUGUAGGUCGAAGAAAGUUGCCAAUGUGGAGGAUGACAACGAUGUGUCGGUCUGCCUCGACUGGGAACAACGACGAUGCGUCCGACUCGCGCGCUAGGGGAAGACAACGCUGCCGCCAUCCUCACGCUCAAGAUGGAUUCAAGCUGGCAGCGGAAGACAAGAUCCAAGCCCACAUCACCUGCGAGUCGAGCUGGGAGGUGCCUCAGUCGAGGACGAGCAAGCUAAAGAGAAGAAAUGAAGAGAGCAAACUGAUGGUAGCUGAGUUACCAGUCGGAUCUCAUCCGCUCGUAUGAAUUUUGGAAUGAGCGAGCGGAGAGAAGAAGGAAAGGAGAAAAGGGAUCGGGCAAGAGUAAGAUUUUUUAUUUGUAGGGAAGCAACAACAAUACGUCUCUUUUAGCGGUGCAAGAGCAACAUGCUCACAUG
This 2361-nucleotide long non-coding RNA is filed under the name Triticum aestivum (bread wheat). RNAcentral's name for it is "long non-coding RNA (TAES_LNC002402)". Lineage: Eukaryota; Viridiplantae; Streptophyta; Magnoliopsida; Poales; Poaceae. The record is from RNAcentral.